UCCCUGGUGGCUCAGUCAGUAAAGAAUCUGUCUACAGUGCAGGAGACCCAGGUUCGAUCCCUGGAUGGGGAA
Bos taurus (domestic cattle) is the source of this 72-nucleotide non-coding RNA. Lineage: Eukaryota; Metazoa; Chordata; Mammalia; Artiodactyla; Bovidae. The record is from Rfam.